RNAcentral lists this non-coding RNA (96 nucleotides) under Streptococcus suis D9. RNAcentral's name for it is "drum RNA". It matches the Rfam family "drum RNA". Rfam says of the family: Firmicutes, Bacteroidetes (1 example), Proteobacteria (2 examples), Spirochaetes (2 examples). The record is from Rfam by way of RNAcentral. Lineage: Bacteria; Bacillati; Bacillota; Bacilli; Lactobacillales; Streptococcaceae.
AAGCGUUGAAGGUCUAUGGUCGGUUGGUUUGACUGUGGCUGGAGCUUUACCAGGGUUGUGUGUGAACUCCUCAAGCCAACACAGAAAACACUCAUU